This 379-nucleotide ribosomal RNA is filed under the name uncultured bacterium. Its description in RNAcentral is "bacterial SSU rRNA". It matches the Rfam family "Bacterial small subunit ribosomal RNA", at positions 28 to 405 of the family's 1533-position model. The record is from RNAcentral.
GACGAACGCUGGCGGCGUGCCUAACACAUGCAAGUCGAACGGGGUGAUUUCCUUCGGGAGAUCACUUAGUGGCGAACGGGUGAGUAACGCGUGAGGAACCUGCCUUUCAGUGGGGGACAACAGUUGGAAACGACUGCUAAUACCGCAUAACGCAGCGAGACCGCAUGGUCUUACUGCCAAAGCUUUAUGUGCUGAAAGAUGGCCUCGCGUCUGAUUAGCUAGUUGGUGGGGUAACGGCCCACCAAGGCGACGAUCAGUAGCCGGUCUGAGAGGAUGAACGGCCACAUUGGGACUGAGAUACGGCCCAGACUCCUACGGGAGGCAGCAGUGGGGAAUAUUGGGCAAUGGGGGGAACCCUGACCCAGCAACGCCGCGUGAA